AUUGCCCUAGUAACGGCGAGUGAAGCGGCAACAGCUCAAAUUUGAAAUCUGGCGCAAGCCCGAGUUGUAAUUUGUAGAGGAUGCUUCUGGGCAGCGGCCGUUCUAAGUUCCUUGGAACAGGACGUCAUAGAGGGUGAGAAUCCCGUAUGUGACCGGCACGUACCCUCCACGUAGCUCCUUCGACGAGUCGAGUUGUUUGGGAAUGCAGCUCUAAAUGGGAGGUAAAUUUCUUCUAAAGCUAAAUACCGGCCAGAGACCGAUAGCGCACAAGUAGAGUGAUCGAAAGAUGAAAAGCACUUUGGAAAGAGAGUUAAAAAGCACGUGAAAUUGUUGAAAGGGAAGCGCUUACAACCAGACUUCGUGGCGGUGUUCCGCCGGUCUUCUGACCGGUCUACUCGCCGCCGCGAGGCCAGCAUCGUCUGGGGCCGCCGGAUAAGACCUUGGGAAUGUAGCUUGCCUCGGUAAGUGUUAUAGCCCAUGGUGAUGCGGCGUGCCUCGGGCGAGGUCCGCGCUUCGGCAAGGAUGCUGGCGUAAUGGUUGUCAGCGGCCCGUCUUGAAACACGGACCAAGGAGUCUAACAUCUAUGCGAGUGUUCGGGUGUCAAACCCCUACGCGUAAUGAAAGUGAACGGAGGUGGGAAGCGCAAGCUGCACCAUCGACCGAUCCUGAUGUCCUCGGAUGGAUUUGAGUAAGAGCAUAGCUGUUGGGACCCGAAAGAUGGUGAACUAUGCCUGAAUAGGGUGAAGCCAGAGGAAACUCUGGUGGAGGCUCGCAGCGGUUCUGACGUGCAAAUCGAUCGUCAAAUUUGGGUAUAGGGGG
This 819-nucleotide ribosomal RNA is filed under the name Phaeophleospora hymenocallidicola. RNAcentral's name for it is "eukaryotic LSU rRNA". It matches the Rfam family "Eukaryotic large subunit ribosomal RNA", at positions 74 to 924 of the family's 3401-position model. The record is from RNAcentral. Lineage: Eukaryota; Fungi; Ascomycota; Dothideomycetes; Mycosphaerellales; Mycosphaerellaceae.